Molecule: ribosomal RNA, 257 nt
Filed under: uncultured bacterium
Lineage: Bacteria
Description: partial 16S ribosomal RNA
Rfam family: Bacterial small subunit ribosomal RNA
Source: RNAcentral
UACGUAGGGGGCGAGCGUUUGUCCGGAGUUACUGGGCGUAAAGCGCACGCAGGCGGUCUGUUAAGUUUUGGAGUGACAGUUGGUGGCUCAACCACCAAAGUGCUUUGAAAACUGAUAGACUUGAGGGCUUCAGAGGGACACGGAAUUCCGGGUGGAGUGGUGAAAUGCGUAGAGAUCCGGAGGAACACCAAAGGCGAAGGGCAGUGUCCUGGGGAGUACCUGGACGCUCAGGUGCGAAAGCCAGGGGAGCGAACGGG